RNAcentral lists this ribosomal RNA (513 nucleotides) under uncultured bacterium. RNAcentral describes it as "bacterial SSU rRNA". It matches the Rfam family "Bacterial small subunit ribosomal RNA", at positions 25 to 518 of the family's 1533-position model. The record is from RNAcentral.
CAGAACGAACGCUGGCGGCGUGCUUAACACAUGCAAGUCGAACGCGAAAGGGACUUCGGUCCUGAGUAAAGUGGCGCACGGGUGAGUAACGCGUAGAUAACCUGUCUUCAUGUCUGGAAUAAUACGCCGAAAGGGGUACUAAUACCGGAUAUUCUUGCUCUUCAUAAGUUAUGCAAGCAAAGGUGGCCUCUGCAUAUGCUACUGCAUGAAGAGGGGUCUGCGUACCAUUAGCUAGUAGGUGGGGUAAUGGCCUACCUAGGCGACGAUGGUUAGCGGGUCUGAGAGGAUGAUCCGCCACACUGGCACUGGAACACAGGCCAGACUCCUACGGGAGGCAGCAGUGAGGAAUAUUGCGCAAUGGGGGAAACCCUGACGCAGCGACGCCGCGUGAGUGAGGAAGGCCUUCGGGUCGUAAAGCUCUGUCAAGAGGAAAGAAGUGUACAAUGGCUAAUACCUGUUGUAUUUGACGGUACCUCUAAAGGAAGCACCGGCUAACUCCGUGCCAGCCGCCGC